GAUGAACGCUGGCGGCGUGCCUAAUACAUGCAAGUCGAGCGAACAGACGAGGAGCUUGCUCCUCUGACGUUAGCGGCGGACGGGUGGGUAACACGUGGAUAACCUACCUAUAAGACUGGGAUAACUUCGGGAAACCGGAGCUAAUACCGGAUAAUAUAUUGAACCGCAUGGUUCAAUAGUGAAAGACGGUUUUGCUGUCACUUAUAGAUGGAUCCGCGCCGCAUUAGCUAGUUGGUAAGGUAACGGCUUACCAAGGCAACGAUGCGUAGCCGACCUGAGAGGGUGAUCGGCCACACUGGAACUGAGACACGGUCCAGACUCCUACGGGAGGCAGCAGUAGGGAAUCUUCCGCAAUGGGCGAAAGCUUGACGGAGCAACGCCGCGUGAGUGAUGAAGGUCUUCGGAUCGUAAAACUCUGUUAUUAGGGAAGAACAAAUGUGUAAGUAACUAUGCACGUCUUGACGGUACCUAAUCAGAAAGCCACGGCUAACUACGUG
Molecule: ribosomal RNA, 497 nt
Filed under: uncultured bacterium
Lineage: Bacteria
Description: partial 16S ribosomal RNA
Rfam family: Bacterial small subunit ribosomal RNA
Source: RNAcentral